AAGGUGUUGGGUUUUUCCUCCUAAGCGCAGACGCAAUGAAAAUAAUUAGAUAUGAAGGGACAUUCCGGUAAGGACGCGGAAUCCAAAGGAGGAAAUAAAACAAUAGCCUUUGUUCUGCUUCUCGACCGCUGCCUCUUUAAGAGAAUCCACCAGGAAAUGGGAGAUCGGGUUACAGCCUGCACACCGGGAAAUGUGGGGAGAGCGAGCGCCCGAGCGCGACGCCGGAGACAAAGCCGGGCCGCCGCGCCGCAGACGCAGGAGCGCGGCCGGGUGGGGGAUUCCCCGUGAAGGUGGGCGCCCCGAAAGGCGGCGGCGCCGCGCGCGCCCGCGGGGGGAUGCAGCGGCCGCGGGCGCUUCCCCAGCGGAGCACGCGUUCUGGGGCAAGGAAGGCGGCUGGGCAGUUAUCAAAAGCAGAACAUUCGAAUUUAGGAGAAGCAACAUGAGUAAUCCUGAGGAUAGGAAUGAAAGUGACAUGUCACUCCUGAUCCAAAGCUGGAAAGAGUGGGUUUGAGUUCUCCAUGUGUUCCUUUACCCGGCUGCAACGAUGUACAGCAUACCCGACAGCGACGCCUUCAUCAGUAAACUUCUAUCACUCAAGAUUGAAUCCUCAUCUUGUAUCAGAAUCAGCCAGCUGUCGGCCAAAAUUUGUGAUCCUGUGCAGAGAAUUGAGUUGUCACUGGAAGCAGCUACCCAGACAAGGACUAGAUUUUCCCAUUCCUCCUGCACCAGAAGUUGUCUUCCUUCCGAUGCCAACCUGUGGAAUCUGAAACCAGAUGACCAUGAGAUCCAGGAGACAGCAGAGCCAAAAGGGAAAAAAAACCCUGGAUUCCUGAAUCACCAAAUGGAAGAAAGCCACCCACAGAUCAGUAACACCCAUCCUGGCCUGUGAUGUGAGUGAGAAAGAAACUUUGAUUUUACAUAAGGUGUAGCUGACCAAAAGCAGAGCUGCUUGCAAAAGUCAUGGCUCCAAACGAGUGCCCCUCAGCAAAGGAGGAAGGGCAGCAUGUGUAGAAGUCAGGAGCCAUCGAGGUGGAGAGACGCUGGCAGACUAAUUUGCCACAGGUCACAUCUGGCUGAGUAUCAUAGGUUUCUCAGGUAUGAUGAGAACAAAUUCCUUUGCCGUUCUUGGAAAAGACAUCCUGGAGAUUCUUGAGAAUCAGAGAAUCUGACGUUAAGCUUGUGAAAGUUAGAGAAAUCCCUAAAUUCAGGAACAAAUCCCUUUAUGCCAAAGGGAGAUGAUGGCUCAAGAAUUCACAUCACCAGUCUGCAGUGGAGGAUGGAGAAAAUUAAGAUUGUAUGUUUUCAAAUGACCCAAUAAACCCAAUGCUGCCUUGGACAAUCACUUCCCAGCCUAAGAAAACAUGCACUGAAAGCAAAGUAAAACAGUAACACUUUUUAAAAGAUAUGACUUCAGCUUCCAACCCUACUUCAGAACUUGGUGAGCUAGUGUGCGUCCUGAGAAGAAUAUCCUUAACCUAAACUAAGCUGACUUGAAUAGCUCUUAGAAUAAUAGCCGCAAAUAGGUUUCAUUUUAUUUGCCAACUCUAAUAAAUUGGUAGUGGCUUCUUGAAGUUCUAUACCAUCAAGGAUUCUAAGACUGAAGGAGAAUUCAGUGGGACAGCAUAUCACGAUGUAUUAACAACGUCUGUCAUGGGCUUGAGAAUGGAUUAUGGUGGAGAUAUUUGACAUUUCCUGACCUAAAACCAAAGCAAGUCAAGAAGACUCUUCUACCUAAUUCUAUCCCAAAGACUGAACUUAAGAUCUUACCACUAUAAAGAGAUGAAAGGCAGUACUUAUCAUUUAAAAUAAAAGCAGACACUUUGCAAGAAAAGGUAAAAAUAAGACAAUAUUUGUCCUAAUGCUUAUUUUGUACAGCUCUCCUGGGACGUCCUUGGUCAAUUUCCCCUUUAUGGGACAAAAAAAGGCCCCUACCAAAUGCAAAUCAAAACUACAAUAAGAUAUCCCCUUCCACCUGUUAGAAUGACUAGUAUCAUAAAUACAAGAAAUAACAAGUGUUGGCAAAAGGGAACCCUUUUGUACCCUUGGUGGGGAUGUAAAUUGGUGCAGCCACUAUGGAAAACAGUAUGGAGGUUCCUCAAAAAAUUAAAAAUAGAACUACUAGAUGAUCCAGCAAUCCAACUUCUGUGUAUAUAUCCAAAGGAAAUAAAAACAAUAUCUCAAAGAGAUAGCUGCACUCCCAUGUUCAUUGCAGCAUUAUUCACCAUAUCCAAGAUCUAAGUGCCCAUUGAUGGAUGCAUGAAUAAAGAAGUUGUGGUAUAUAUACACAAUGGAAUAUUAUUUAGCCAUGAGAAAGAAGGACAUUCUGCGGUCUUUUUUGCAACAUGAACGGAUCUUGAGGGCAUUAUGCUAAGUGAAAUAAGUCAGACAGAGAAACACAAAUGCUGUAUGAUAUAGGUGGAAUCUAAGAAAAGCCGAACUCAUUGAAACAGAGACUGCAAUGGUGAUUACCAGGGGAUGGGGGAUGUGAGGGAAAGGAGGAGAUGUUAGUCAAAAAGUAUAAAUUUCCAGUUAUAAGAUACAUAAGUUCUGGGGAUCUAAUGUACAGCAUGGUGAUUAUAGUUAAUAAUACUGUAUUAUAUACUUGAAAGUUGUUAAGAGAGUAAUCUUAAAUGUUCUCACCACAAAAAAGAAAUGGUAAUUGUGUGACAUGAUGCAGGUGUUAGCGAACACUAUGGUCAUAAUCAUUUUGCAAUAUGUAAGUGCAUCAAAUCAACACAUUGUACACCUCAAACUUACACAAUACUAUAUGUCAAUUAUAUCUCAACAAAGCUGAAAAAAAGCUAUCACUCACCAUACACCAUCGUUUCUUUGGGAGAGGGCCAUAAAAAUCAGCAAACUAUAGCUAAAUAGAAAGUUCUACUAAGAUUUCUGUGUACCUUUCCCCUCAAAAUAAAGAUAUCCCUAUAAAGGAUCGAUAAUUAUGCA
This 2946-nucleotide long non-coding RNA is filed under the name Equus caballus (horse). RNAcentral's name for it is "lncRNA (ENSECAG00000035627.3)". Lineage: Eukaryota; Metazoa; Chordata; Mammalia; Perissodactyla; Equidae. The record is from RNAcentral.